UGUUCUGUAUUUUUCUCCAGCUCCGUCCGGGACCCUCUAUUGUGAUCCCUGUCAGAGCCACUGGUGGUGGCAGCCGGGCACCUCUAGGUGUGCUGGAGUCAGUCUGGUGGAGGCUACACACUUGUGGUUGGACAAACUAAUUUUAAUGGAUGCAGCUCGUCCUAUUAUGGCCUCUACUAUGCCUUAUGACCUGAGAAGAUGACGUCUGCACAACAGGAUAAAGCCUGUGGAAGACGGAGCCAGACAACCAGAGCAGGGUGAGAUGCCACUCACAGCUCACUGUGACCACGGGGUGAAGGAGCACACGUUCCCAGCCAGCCAGGGAGAGCCAAUGGCUCGCAGCCAGACAAGGGCCCCGAUUUCUUUAGGGUAUUUGGAGUAAUGUAGUCUCCUAAAUAAUGCCUGGAACUAUUUAGAAUUUGAAUAAUACUGCUUUUAAAAAAAGGUAAUACAACGUUGGAGCUAGAAAACAAAAAGACAAAACCAAUAAUGAACACGAAUUGCUCAUCCAAAGGCUCUGGACAACCUACAGGUAAACAAGUGGCACACGUGACCACACCUACACUACAGUUUACAUCACCUAAGUCAACAGACGCAGAAGGAAGGAAAGGAAAAACGCCCAGAGUGCACUUGGUGACAGUGCACUGAUUUUCACAUUCCCUCCUACGGCGUAUUUUUGAGGCCCUGCCACGGGCUCCUCCACAAGGCUCCGUCAGGGGUUCCUACACGAGGCUCUGUCAUGGGCUCCUACACUGAGGCUCCGUCACAGGCUCCAUCACAGCCUCCUACAGUCAGGCUCCGUCACGGGCUCCUCCACAGCCUCCUACAGUCAGGCUCCGUCACAAGUUCCUACAGUCAGGCUCCAUUACAGGUUCCUACAGUCAGGCUCCAUUACAGGUUCCUACAGUCAGGCUCCAUCACAGGCUCCUACAUGAGCCUCCAUCACAGGCCCUGAGGGGAGAGACCCAGGCACCUAUCCCAUUGCCACAGCUGUCAGACCCCAAAUUGUGGUCACGCCAUGCAGUCUGUCAGUCUCCUUGCCUCUAAAAUGGGACAAUGACUGACCCACUCCACAGGACUGUUGUGGAAAUUAAAUUAGAAGGUACUUUUAAACGGCUCAACUCCGUGACUAGAACGGGAAUGAGUGCUUCACAAGCAUUAGUGAUGAGGAGGCCGAAUGGGCACAUCACAGAAGUGUGAAACUAGGUUAAAUAUUGGUUUCAGAAGAAUGAAUAGCGUUUCCAACGUAUUAACACUUCUAUUUACUGCAGGUUUAGCUUUAUCUCCUGAAGUUUAUUCCAUUGCCAGAAUACACACAUGCACCAUUAACAAAGUCUGACUUCUUGGAGACACCCCCGGCCAUUGAUUUUAAUCCCUGCCCAACAAGCGUCAGAGUGCCUGCAUGACAGUGAAGGGCAGGAGGGGCAGCCUAAUGGGGCACAUUUGCGUCUUACCUACCAAAAACCAAACCAAACCCACUGCCAUCGAGUCUAUUCCGACUCAUAGCAUCUUACCUAAGGAGAACACAAAUGCCUUUCUGUUCUGUGUUUUAACAUUUCUAGAAGGAUAAAUCCAGUACAGAGAAACUGCUUUCAACUAGAACCCAGUUAACUGGACUUCAUGCUACUGUUUUUAGCAGAAAUGAAGCUAGCACAUUACAAGGAAAUGAGUUUUGCCCAUGAGCGUCAUUUUGAGAAGCAGCAUCCAGGAAACACCUAGAUCAUGACAAAGCCAGCACAGCCUCUGCAGUCAGAUAACAGAUGCGGUGUCUCCAACACUGGAACCUCCAUGUCAACAAGUGCUAUUACUACCCUGUCACACAGCAAUAAUCCACUUCAGGACCACAACACAAGGACCCUGACAGCAAGAGGGGUUUACAGUUCCACAGAAAAUACAGGGUGGAGAGAAGGAGUGUGCUGUCACACUGUAGGGAGAGCAACAAGUGUCACGUAACAAAGUGUGUAAGUUUUUGUAUGAGAAACUGACUUAAAUUGUAAAUUUUCACUUAAAGCACAAUAAAAAUAUAUGUAUACACACACAUAUAUAUAUAAAAGUGCUCUAAAUUAAGGAUGUUUCAAGUUAAAAAAAAAAAAAAAUACAUUUGAAACCAAAAGUGGUUUCUGUU
This is a long non-coding RNA of Loxodonta africana (African savanna elephant), 2125 nucleotides long. RefSeq lists it as uncharacterized. NCBI's taxonomy places the organism in Eukaryota, Metazoa, Chordata, Mammalia, Proboscidea, Elephantidae. The transcript is spliced from 2 exons. The record is from RefSeq and is a predicted model, not a curated record.